This is a long non-coding RNA of Herpailurus yagouaroundi (jaguarundi), 531 nucleotides long. RefSeq lists it as uncharacterized. NCBI's taxonomy places the organism in Eukaryota, Metazoa, Chordata, Mammalia, Carnivora, Felidae. The record is from RefSeq and is a predicted model, not a curated record. The transcript is spliced from 2 exons.
GAGAAAAAAGAAGGGAAGAAGUCCAAAGAGCAGGAACAAACCGUACACAUCUCCUCUGAUGCCAGCUGGUCUCAGCAGAAGCCGUUCUGGGGCGAGCCACUUGAGAGGUAUGGGUUGCUUCUUUCUGUCGGCAUAUUGAAAAGUGUAGCUCCCUUCUUGAACUGAGAACCGAGAGGAGGAAACAGCACGAUGAAGAAAGAGAUACAAAGGAGUAUGAAAUGGGGAGUACAGUGCAGCUCAAAUCUUCGCACAGAGUCUGGAGUCGAAUGACUAUAACUGAAAUUAAGCUAACUAUUUAACGUAAACUCUCCAAACCCUCAUGCAUAGGCACGAUGCAAGCAUAACGCCACGUCCCCUCUCUGUCUGUUUCAUUACACACAAAGACAGUUCUAUUUCCAAGAAUAGUGCAACCCCCACGAGCCACACUUCUGUCCAGUGAGCACAAUAGUCUCCCAGAUAUGAUCAGCAAUUUACUCAUGGGUGUCCAGAAGAAACUCAUCUUACCAAAAUACAUCUACAAAUAGAACUUUA